UGCUCUAGCACUCGGCAGACACACCCUUGCAAAGAUAGCUGACAUUUUUUCAGCACUGGCCGUCAUGCUUCAAUGGAUGCCUGCCUCUGUGAUAAAGUGAAGAUGCAGAGUCCUAUCUUGAGGUGGAAGCUGAUACCUGUGGCAGUACAGCCACUGUAGGGGUCCGGGCAAGGCUGAAGAUGUGACACCAUCUAGCAUGGAAUAAAGACCAAGGAUUUGAAAGUGGCCAACAACAGCACUGGAGGCAAACAGCACUCUUGGCAAGGCUCCUGUUGUGUCUCCCAGCUCUGAAAUUGGACAGUGUUCUUGGCAUGGUACGCUCAUUCAGACCCACACAUUUAGUUAGGCAUGGCCAGCAGAGGAGAGGUUGAUGACAGAGGACAAGUUCCAAAGAAACAAGAUUGAUGACUCCUCCUGAGAAAGUGCACCAAAGAGCUGAAGCCUGAAAAGACUGCAGAAAUUGCCCCCCUUCCUCUCGCUCACCACCAUCCAGCCUCCUUCCCUUGAGGACACUUGCUCUGUCAGCAAUGCUUCAGAGAAGAUGGCAGAAUUGCUCUUUGCCUGAGGUUGGUAUGCUGAAUUUAAGUUCCAGAAAAGUUGCAAGGAUUCCCAAAGGGAAAAGCUUGAAGUUCCUUCUUGCACUCAAGAGACAAUGUUUUUUUGUUUUUGUUGUUGUUGUUGUUGAAAUAUCACAUUAGAUUAACACAAUGGUGAAAAGAACUGUAUAUUUUCUUGCCCAGCUCUUGCCCAGCCUGCUACAUAUAUCAUCUCAGUUUGGUUUCUUUCUUGUUUGUGUAUUUUUUUCCCCCUGUAGUUAAUUUUCUGCCUCUCAUGAGCUUAGAGAAAGGAUAGCGAUCCACCCCAGCUCAAACCAAGUACCGGGGAAAGCACCAUCCAGUUCAUCUGACUCAUUGUAUCAACCCUAAAGAUUUAUUGUUUUUAACCUACAAAUCUCAAGACACUGUACAGGAGAUCUGCAAAAGAGGCAGUUCCUGGACUGGCCUCUCAUCCAGCAAGCCAGCAAGCAGCAGUUCUCAUAUGUGGGCAGCAGCAGUGCAGCAGCCUCAGUUCCUCUUUCCUUUUCUGCAGCAAUCAGAAGCCUUUACCAAAAACCACCAGUGCAUCAGCCCUACCCACCUAUAGCCCCGAGCUGCUGGAAAAUGGAAGCAAAAGCAGCUCUCAGAUGAUGAAAUUUCAGCUGUCGCUGUCAGACAGUUGGAUGAGGUUAACAGAAACAGUCCUUAGAAGUAUGCAGAGAGCUAUCUCAUAUCAAUUAAGCACGCUGUUAAAAAUUAGAAAAACUACCAACUCGUCAUCAAGAUGCUGCUCAGAGCUGUGAUUUGACUUCUGCAUUUCUUAAGCACAGAUGAUUAAAUUGAAGACUAAAUAUGAAGUAAGGACUGCUCGCAGUUUAACAACCUUUUCUUUCUUUUUUUUUUUUUAAGUAGAAUAUGAUAGGUCUGAAAUGCUCUGUUCAAAGAAAAUAAGGUCAUUUGAAAUUGCUCGAUCUGUCAAUCUGGAG
RNAcentral lists this long non-coding RNA (1522 nucleotides) under Gallus gallus (chicken). Its description in RNAcentral is "lncRNA (ENSGALG00010008828.1)". The record is from RNAcentral. Lineage: Eukaryota; Metazoa; Chordata; Aves; Galliformes; Phasianidae.